Non-coding RNA from Pelobates cultripes (western spadefoot toad), 258 nucleotides. The record is from the annotation of a GenBank genome assembly. NCBI's taxonomy places the organism in Eukaryota, Metazoa, Chordata, Amphibia, Anura, Pelobatidae.
CCCGACUGGGUACCUCCAUUGAAGGAUGCUCCUAGCGCUUCCUGAGGGCUCCAAGCACUACAGCAGACACCUCCAGGUCCUGGACGCUACUCACUCCUGGGCACUCUGGAACCGAAUGGGGAAUUAGCUCUAGUCCUUACAAGGACUUUCCCCGUUGAAUCUCCUGCAAGCUGGAGCAGCAGACACAGGAGCAAAUAAUCUUCCCUCCAAUAACAGGACGACACACAGUUUUGGAGUGUAAACAGGAACAGAACUAGC